ACGAACGCUGGCGGCGUGCUUAACACAUGCAAGUCGAACGGUGAAGGGGUCUGCUUUUGUGGGCCCUGGAUGAGUGGCGAACGGGUGAGUAACACGUGAGUAACCUGCCCCCUUCUUCUGGAUAACCGCAUGAAAGUGUGGCUAAUACGGGAUAUUCUGGGUCUGUCGCAUGAUGGGUCUGGGAAAGAUUGCGCCUUUGGGUGUUUUUGGUGGGGGAUGGGCUCGCGGCCUAUCAGCUUGUUGGUGGGGUGAUGGCCUACCAAGGCGGUGACGGGUAGCCGGCCUGAGAGGGUGGACGGUCACACUGGGACUGAGACACGGCCCAGACGCCUACGGGAGGCAGCAGUGGGGAAUAUUGCACAAUGGGCGCAAGCCUGAUGCAGCGACGCCGCGUGAGGGAUGGAGGCCUUCGGGUUGUAAACCUCUUUCGCCAGUGAAGCAGGCCUGCUCCUUGUGGGUGGGUUGACGGUAGCUGGAUAAGAAGCGCCGGCUAACUACGUG
RNAcentral lists this ribosomal RNA (501 nucleotides) under uncultured bacterium. Its description in RNAcentral is "partial 16S ribosomal RNA". It matches the Rfam family "Bacterial small subunit ribosomal RNA", at positions 29 to 507 of the family's 1533-position model. The record is from RNAcentral.